AAAGAUUAAGUUAUUAAGGGCGCACGGUGGAUGCCUUGGCAAUAGAAGCCGAUGAAGAACGUUACUAACGACGAUAUGCUUUGGGGAGCUGUAAGUAAGAUUUGAUCCAAGGAUUUCCGAAGGGCGGCACCCAGCACGAGUUAUGUCGUGUUAUCCGCAUGUGAAUCCAUAGCAUGUGAGAAGGUAGACCCGGAGAACUG
RNAcentral lists this ribosomal RNA (200 nucleotides) under Staphylococcus felis. RNAcentral describes it as "partial 23S ribosomal RNA". It matches the Rfam family "Bacterial large subunit ribosomal RNA", at positions 1 to 195 of the family's 2925-position model. Lineage: Bacteria; Bacillati; Bacillota; Bacilli; Caryophanales; Staphylococcaceae. The record is from RNAcentral.